This 600-nucleotide ribosomal RNA is filed under the name Carnobacterium sp. MYb235. RNAcentral's name for it is "bacterial SSU rRNA". It matches the Rfam family "Bacterial small subunit ribosomal RNA", at positions 60 to 644 of the family's 1533-position model. Lineage: Bacteria; Bacillati; Bacillota; Bacilli; Lactobacillales; Carnobacteriaceae. The record is from RNAcentral.
ACGCACGAAGUUGAAGAGCUUGCUCUUUAACCAGUGAGUGGCGGACGGGUGAGUAACACGUGGGUAACCUGCCCAUUAGAGGGGGAUAACAUUCGGAAACGGAUGCUAAUACCGCAUAGUUUCAGGAAUCGCAUGAUUCUUGAAGGAAAGGUGGCUUCGGCUACCACUAAUGGAUGGACCCGCGGCGUAUUAGCUAGUUGGUGAGGUAAUGGCUCACCAAGGCAAUGAUACGUAGCCGACCUGAGAGGGUGAUCGGCCACACUGGGACUGAGACACGGCCCAGACUCCUACGGGAGGCAGCAGUAGGGAAUCUUCCGCAAUGGACGAAAGUCUGACGGAGCAACGCCGCGUGAGUGAAGAAGGUUUUCGGAUCGUAAAACUCUGUUGUUAAAGAAGAACAAGGAUGAGAGUAACUGCUCAUCCCCUGACGGUAUUUAACCAGAAAGCCACGGCUAACUACGUGCCAGCAGCCGCGGUAAUACGUAGGUGGCAAGCGUUGUCCGGAUUUAUUGGGCGUAAAGCGAGCGCAGGCGGUUCUUUAAGUCUGAUGUGAAAGCCCCCGGCUCAACCGGGGAGGGUCAUUGGAAACUGGAGAACUUG